This 619-nucleotide long non-coding RNA is filed under the name Mytilus galloprovincialis (Mediterranean mussel). The record is from RNAcentral. Lineage: Eukaryota; Metazoa; Mollusca; Bivalvia; Mytilida; Mytilidae.
CUCCCGUUUCAUGGUAAUACAAUUCUAAUUAAGUAAAUUAAUUAACUAAAAUACAGUGGGUGUCUCUCUUCCCCAGCCCUUUAUAUAUAAAAACAAAAUAUAGUUUUUAUAACAAAACAAAAAAACAAAAACAAAAAAAAUAACGUGUUUUCCCCUUUCUUUAUACCUCUAAAAAAAAAAGAAUUAUGGUGCAAAUCUCUGUAAGUCUUUUCCCAUUUCAAGUUUUGUAAUGUUUUUAAUUUUGAGGAUCAGAAGUUAAACUGUUUGUUAUUGUUGUCCGGGGUGCCCCCUUUUUGCUGAAAGCAGAUAAUUCUGCUUUUAUUUGAGAAUGCCAUGUCUCUCAGGUUGGUUUGUUGUUUUUUAAAGGUGAUACAGUUUUGAACAACUGUUAAGUGACAUUCUAUUUAUAUGUGGGGUUCUUUAAAAGACAUAAAAGUAGCCAGUAUGAGGAAUUGUAGCCAUGUGCGUUUUAUAUGAUGGACCGAUACUAAUUAAGUCUGACCACGUUCAAAACUUAAUAAAAACUAUUAACACCUACUAGACGAGUUCAAUAAGGGUGUAUAUUUGGAAUAAUGUUUACCUAAGUACUCUUGAAAGGCACAUAUUAUGUAUUUCUUUA